CUGCAGCCAGUUAAACCAACCAGCUCCUUCCCCGGUGGGCAGUAGAUGCAGUGACUGCAAGUAGCAGCCCCCUCAGUAGUAUAUGCAGCUGUCGCUUGGAAGGGUUAAACCAAGGGACCAUGGGGACACAC
Small nucleolar RNA from Fukomys damarensis (Damara mole-rat), 131 nucleotides. Its record names the gene SNORA70. It matches the Rfam family "Small nucleolar RNA SNORA70". Rfam says of the family: snoRNA U70 seems to be exclusive to mammals and is a member of the H/ACA class of snoRNA which contain H (ANANNA) and ACA box motifs. The record is from Ensembl. Lineage: Eukaryota; Metazoa; Chordata; Mammalia; Rodentia; Bathyergidae.